Molecule: ribosomal RNA, 80 nt
Filed under: Klebsiella pneumoniae
Lineage: Bacteria; Pseudomonadati; Pseudomonadota; Gammaproteobacteria; Enterobacterales; Enterobacteriaceae
Source: RNAcentral
CCUGGCGGCACUAGCGCGGUGGUCCCACCUGACCCCAUGCCGAACUCAGAAGUGAAACGCCGUAGCGCUGAUCUUCUCUU